UAAACCGUUUUCUAUUCCCGUCUUUUACUUCAAUUAAACUUUUUUAACAAUUAUGGAAGGAAUAUAGAAUGCCUAUUUAGUAUAGGCGUAAUAUAUCUUUUAAUGCCUCAUUUCUACCCAAUUUGUGGAUCUGUUAACCUAAAUAACUCUCAUUUCAUCACUUAACUCUAUUUGCUUUCUCGCACAAACUUCUGUGUUCGAUUCGGCAAAUAAAAUUUCACUCUUUUUCUCAGGUCAAUUUGAUCGGAAUGCGAUUUGUAAUUCGAUCUACUUAAACUCGUUUUCAACGCAGAUGUAGAACUCGAUUCAAAUAAUUUAAUUUUGGGAUGUCGUGUGUUCAAAUUUAGAUUUUGUUGGGGGUUCGGGAUUCUUAGUUUGAAUUCGAGGGCUUUCAAUUGCGUUAUCAUGGUAUUGGAAGCCAUUGAGGUUACAAAGAUGGGGCUUUGGAUUACAAAUAAUUUAAUUUAGGUGGUGUUGUGGUUUUGCAAAUUUCUGGGUAACAGUGUUGUAAUUUGGUAUUGUUUCUUAUUAUAAUAUUAGUAUGUUCUAUAAACUGAUUUUUUUUCCCUAGAGAUAUAGUCAAUGAUUUUAUUCUAUGUUCUUGAAAAGUAACCAAAUUAAGUUUCUCAUUCUUUUAUAUUUUCUCCAUUGCAGAUUUAAUCCAAGGACGAUGAGAAGAUUAGCAGGAAGUCAAGGAAUUCUUCAUUCUUGUUUGUAGAUGCCGAUUAAUUUAUUCAUUCUUGUAUUGGUAUUUGAAUGGAACAAUAAGAUUAAGAUGUGUUUGGAAUUGUAAUUUAAUAAGUUAUGCUUGUUUUUUUUGGCAAUUGA
Spinacia oleracea (spinach) is the source of this 828-nucleotide long non-coding RNA. RefSeq lists it as uncharacterized. The record is from RefSeq and is a predicted model, not a curated record. NCBI's taxonomy places the organism in Eukaryota, Viridiplantae, Streptophyta, Magnoliopsida, Caryophyllales, Amaranthaceae. The transcript is spliced from 2 exons.